This 253-nucleotide ribosomal RNA is filed under the name uncultured bacterium. Its description in RNAcentral is "partial 16S ribosomal RNA". It matches the Rfam family "Bacterial small subunit ribosomal RNA", at positions 524 to 776 of the family's 1533-position model. The record is from RNAcentral.
UACGUAGGCAGCGAGCGUUGUUCGGAAUUACUGGGCGUAAAGAGUGUGUAGGCGGUGUUCCCAGUCUGUUGUGAAAUCUCCCGGCUUAACUGGGAGGGUGCAGCGGAAACUAGAAUGCUAGAGGGUGGGAGAGGUAAGCGGAAUUCCUGGUGUAGCGGUGAAAUGCGCAGAUAUCAGGAGGAACACCGGUGGCGAAGGCGGGUCUCUGGGCCGAUACUGACGCUGAGGAGCGAAAGCGUGGGGAGCGAACAGG